Molecule: non-coding RNA, 23 nt
Filed under: Arabidopsis thaliana (thale cress)
Lineage: Eukaryota; Viridiplantae; Streptophyta; Magnoliopsida; Brassicales; Brassicaceae
Source: RNAcentral
AGCAAGUUCCUCGCAAAUGUUGC